UGGGGAAUAUUGGACAAUGGGGGCAACCCUGAUCCAGCCAUGCCGCGUGGGUGAAGAAGGCCUUCGGGUUGUAAAGCCCUUUUGUACGGGAAGAAAAGCUUCUGGUUAAUAACCGGGAGUCAUGACGGUACCGUAAGAAUAAGCACCGGCUAACUUCGUGCCAGCAGCCGCGGUAAUACGAAGGGUGCAAGCGUUACUCGGAAUUACUGGGCGUAAAGCGUGCGUAGGCGGUAUGUUAAGUCUGAUGUGAAAUCCCCGGGCUCAACCUGGGAAUGGCAUUGGAUACUGGCAGGCUAGAGUACGGUAGAGGGUGGUGGAAUUCCCGGUGUAGCAGUGAAAUGCGUAGAGAUCGGGAGGAACAUCUGUGGCGAAGGCGGCCACCUGGACCAGUACUGACGCUGAGGCACGAAAGCGUGGGGAGCAAACAGG
This 429-nucleotide ribosomal RNA is filed under the name uncultured bacterium. RNAcentral's name for it is "bacterial SSU rRNA". It matches the Rfam family "Bacterial small subunit ribosomal RNA", at positions 355 to 776 of the family's 1533-position model. The record is from RNAcentral.